Molecule: transfer RNA, 83 nt
Filed under: archaeon
Lineage: Archaea
Also listed under: 2 other names
Description: tRNA-Ser
Rfam family: tRNA
About the family: Transfer RNA (tRNA) molecules are approximately 80 nucleotides in length. Their secondary structure includes four short double-helical elements and three loops (D, anti-codon, and T loops).
Source: RNAcentral
GCCGGUGUGGCAGAAUCCGGUAUUGCGCCAGUCUUGAAAACUGGUCCCGCAAGGGGUUUUAGGUUCAAAUCCUAACGCCGGCG